GACGUAGGGCGCAAGCGUUAAUCGGAAUUACUGGGCGUAAAGCGUGCGCAGGCGGUUUUGUAAGUCUGACGUGAAAGCCCCGGGCUUAACCUGGGAAUUGCGUUGGAGACUGCAAGGCUUGAAUCUGGCAGAGGGGGGUAGAAUUCCACGUGUAGCAGUGAAAUGCGUAGAGAUGUGGAGGAACACCGAUGGCGAAGGCAGCCCCCUGGGUCAAGAUUGACGCUCAUGCACGAAAGCGUGGGGAGCAAACAGG
RNAcentral lists this ribosomal RNA (253 nucleotides) under uncultured bacterium. Its description in RNAcentral is "partial 16S ribosomal RNA". It matches the Rfam family "Bacterial small subunit ribosomal RNA", at positions 524 to 776 of the family's 1533-position model. The record is from RNAcentral.